This is a long non-coding RNA of Alligator mississippiensis (American alligator), 2189 nucleotides long. RefSeq lists it as uncharacterized. The record is from RefSeq and is a predicted model, not a curated record. NCBI's taxonomy places the organism in Eukaryota, Metazoa, Chordata, Crocodylia, Alligatoridae. The transcript has 3 exons.
AUGUUACAGACCUGAAAUAUUACAUACUUCUGUGGAAGCAAGUAAUAUUUCCUGCUUCUUUGGACUGUGGACAAAUGAACAAAUUGCAAAAGUUAAAUGGGGGCAGGGGCCUACCAUGGAGCAAUUGAUCACAAUAAUUGUGUGCGUGCUCUUACCAGGACAGUGUAAUCCUCAGUAAAAUGGAUAAAUUAACACGGUUCAAUUUUCACUUAUUGCAGGGUAGCAGUAUGCCCACAAACAAUUAAUUCAUGGGCACAGUGGGGACCUUGUCCAUGAUGAUUAAUAUGGCUUUCCUGAAACAGAUCUGACUGCCUACACUUCAGUCAACCCUGACACUAGGUACUAGACAUUUUGUACUGUUUCCUGGCUCCAAUCUAUAAAGUUCAUAAACAGUUAUAAGAGAAGGGACUGGAACCCAAGUCCUCCACUCCCAGGAGAUGCUUGAGGGAACAAGGUCUCUCCCAUUCCCUGCUGGUCCCAUUAUUCCUUGUUAUUCCAGGAGAUGCUUGAGGGAACAAGGUCUCUCCCAUUCCCUGCUGGUCCCCCCUGGUAAGUUUAUAGACAGCCACCAGGUCCCCUCUUAGCCUUCUCUUGUGAAAGCUGAACAGGUUCAGGUCCCAUAGCCUCUCCUCGUAGGAUCUGCCCUGCUGUCCCAGGAUCAUGUGAGUGGCCCUCCUUUGGACCCUCCCAAUGUUGUCCACAUCCCUCCUAAAGUGCAGCGCCCAAAACUGGAUGCAGUACUUCAACUGCGGCCUGACCAAUGCUGCAUAGAGGGGGAGGAUCACCUCCUUGGCCCUGCUUGUGAUGCAUCUGUGGAUGCAUGACAAGUUGCGGUUAGCCUUAUUAACCGCGUCCUCACAUUGGCGGCCCAUGUUAAUUUUGGAAUCAAUAAUGACUCCAAGAACUCUUUCAGCCACUGUGCUUUUGAGAAGGGAGUUCCCCAGCCUAUAGGUAUGCUGCUGGUUCUUACUGCCCAAGUGCAGUACCCUGCACUUGUCAGUAUUGAAUCCCAUCCUGUUCUGAUUCGCCCACCCCAGUAACCUGUGCAGGUCUAGUUGUAUCCUGUCCCUCCCUUCUAGCGUGCCCACCUUGCCCCAAAUCUUGGUCUCGUCAGUGAAUGUGAACAGGGCGCUUUUCACGCCCUCAUCCAAGUCACUAAUAAAGAAAUUGAACAGGUCGAAUAUGACCCGUCCACCACCACUCUCUGGGUGCAGCCCCUCAGCCAAUUUGCAAUCCAUCUGACUGUGUAGGCAUCAAUGACACAGUCGCCUAGCUUUUUAAUGAGAAUGGGGUGGGAGACAGUGUCGAAGGCCUUCCUGAAGUCCAGAAAGACUACAUCCACUGCGACACCUGCGUCCAAUGAUUUUGUGACCUAAUCGUAGAAGGCAAUCAGGUUGGUCUGACAGGACCUGCCCCUGAACAUCAUCCCCCCUGCUGGUCUUUCACAGAUGUGCUCCUGGAUAGUUUUCUCAAAGAGCUUCCCCAGGAUUGAAGUAAAACUAAUGGGCCUAUAGUUGACCGGGUCCUCCCUCCUCCCUUUUUUGAAAAUGGGGACCACAUUGGCCUUCUUCCAGUCUUCUGGCACCUGGCCAGAGCACCAUGAGUGCUCCUAAAGCCAUGCAAGGGGCCCCGUGAUAACCCCUGCCAAUUCCCUCAGAACCCUGGGAUGGAGAGCAUCUGGACCUGCUGAUUUGAAAACGUCCAGCCCCUCCAGAAGUUCCCUAACUCGGUCCUCCCUGACCCUAGGCCUGGCAGUCUCUCCUGAGUCCAUCCUGAAUCUUGGUGGGGGAGUCCUAGUCCCUGGACAAAAAAAUGGAGGCAAAGAAAUUGUUAAAAAGGUCUGCCUUUUCCUCUGGUGCAACCACCAGAUUGCCUAGCGUAUCCUGCAGGGACCCCAUAUUACCCAGUGCCUUCUUCACACUUCCUAUGCAUUUAAAAAAAGGACUUUUUGUUGUCCUUGAUCCUUGAUGUUAGCCUUAGUUCUAUAUCUGCUUUAGCUUUCCUAACAGCCCCCUUACAGACCCAAGCGAUGGAGGUAUACUCCUCUUUGGUGAUAGUCCCUCCCUUCCACUGGGUGUACGCCUCCUUUUUGGCUUUCAGGCAUUCCUGCCUGAGCCAGGGGGGCUUUUGAGCACUCUUGCCCCCUUUGAUUCACAUUGGGUCUGUCACCCCUUGGGCUUGGAGGAUUG